CGGCGGACGGGUGAGUAACGCGUGGGUAACCUGCCUCAUACAGGGGGAUAGCAGUUGGAAACGGCUGCUAAUACCGCAUAAGCGCACAGUACCGCAUGGUACCGUGUGAAAAACUCCGGUGGUAUGAGAUGGACCCGCGUCUGAUUAGCUAGUUGGUGGGGUAACGGCCUACCAAGGCGACGAUCAGUAGCCGACCUGAGAGGGUGACCGGCCACAUUGGGACUGAGACACGGCCCAA
This 238-nucleotide ribosomal RNA is filed under the name uncultured bacterium. Its description in RNAcentral is "partial 16S ribosomal RNA". It matches the Rfam family "Bacterial small subunit ribosomal RNA", at positions 96 to 334 of the family's 1533-position model. The record is from RNAcentral.